UUAAAUUGAAGAGUUUGAUCAUGGCUCAGAUUGAACGCUGGCGGCAGGCCUAACACAUGCAAGUCGAACGGUAACAGGAAGCAGCUUGCUGCUUCGCUGACGAGUGGCGGACGGGUGAGUAAUGUCUGGGAAACUGCCUGAUGGAGGGGGAUAACUACUGGAAACGGUAGCUAAUACCGCAUAACGUCGCAAGACCAAAGAGGGGGACCUUCGGGCCUCUUGCCAUCGGAUGUGCCCAGAUGGGAUUAGCUAGUAGGUGGGGUAACGGCUCACCUAGGCGACGAUCCCUAGCUGGUCUGAGAGGAUGACCAGCCACACUGGAACUGAGACACGGUCCAGACUCCUACGGGAGGCAGCAGU
This 360-nucleotide ribosomal RNA is filed under the name Escherichia coli. RNAcentral's name for it is "bacterial SSU rRNA". It matches the Rfam family "Bacterial small subunit ribosomal RNA", at positions 1 to 355 of the family's 1533-position model. Lineage: Bacteria; Pseudomonadati; Pseudomonadota; Gammaproteobacteria; Enterobacterales; Enterobacteriaceae. The record is from RNAcentral.